Molecule: transfer RNA, 72 nt
Organism: Ovis aries (sheep)
Lineage: Eukaryota; Metazoa; Chordata; Mammalia; Artiodactyla; Bovidae
Rfam family: tRNA
About the family: Transfer RNA (tRNA) molecules are approximately 80 nucleotides in length.
Source: Rfam
UCCCUGGUGGCUAAGAGGUUAAAGCGUCUGUCUCCAAUGUGGGAGACCUGGGUUCAAUCCCUUGGUUGGGAA